This 379-nucleotide ribosomal RNA is filed under the name uncultured eukaryote. Its description in RNAcentral is "partial 18S ribosomal RNA". It matches the Rfam family "Eukaryotic small subunit ribosomal RNA", at positions 592 to 976 of the family's 1831-position model. The record is from RNAcentral.
CAAUAGCGUAUAUUAAAGUUGUUGCGGUAAAAAAGCUCGUAGUUGGAUUUCUGUUGAGAGCGACCGGUCCAUACCAUGUAUGCGUAUCUGGCUUGCUCUCGGCAUCCUCUCGAUAGACGUUACUGCGCUUGAUUGCGUGGUGCGGAUCUCGGGACUUUUACUUUGAGGAAAUUAGAGUGUUCACGGCAGGCUUUCGCCAGAAUACAUUAGCAUGGAAUAAUACUAUAGGAUCUUGGUUCUAUUUUGUUGGUUUCUAGAAUUGAGAUAAUGAUUAAUAGGGACAAUUGGGGGCAUUCGUAUCAACACGUCAGAGGUAGAAUUCUUGGAUUGUGUUGCGACGAACUACUGCGAAAGCAUUUGCCAAGGAUGUUUUCAUUGA